UACGGGGGGGGCAAGCGUUGUUCGGAAUUACUGGGCGUAAAGGGCUUGUAGGUGGCCAACUAAGUCAGACGUGAAAUCCCCCGGCUUAACCGGGGAACUGCGUCUGAUACUGGAUGGCUAGAGAUUGGGAGAGGGACGCGGAAUUCCAGGUGUAGCGGUGAAAUGCGUAGAUAUCGGAAGGAACGCCGGUGGCGAAAGCGGCGGACUGGACCUUCACUGACGCUGAGGCGCGAAAGCUAGGGGAGCAAACGGG
Molecule: ribosomal RNA, 253 nt
Filed under: uncultured bacterium
Lineage: Bacteria
Description: partial 16S ribosomal RNA
Rfam family: Bacterial small subunit ribosomal RNA
Source: RNAcentral